RNAcentral lists this ribosomal RNA (1426 nucleotides) under Lactiplantibacillus plantarum. Its description in RNAcentral is "bacterial SSU rRNA". It matches the Rfam family "Bacterial small subunit ribosomal RNA". The record is from RNAcentral. Lineage: Bacteria; Bacillati; Bacillota; Bacilli; Lactobacillales; Lactobacillaceae.
ACUCUGGUAUUGAUUGGUGCUUGCAUCAUGAUUUACAUUUGAGUGAGUGGCGAACUGGUGAGUAACACGUGGGAAACCUGCCCAGAAGCGGGGGAUAACACCUGGAAACAGAUGCUAAUACCGCAUAACAACUUGGACCGCAUGGUCCGAGCUUGAAAGAUGGCUUCGGCUAUCACUUUUGGAUGGUCCCGCGGCGUAUUAGCUAGAUGGUGGGGUAACGGCUCACCAUGGCAAUGAUACGUAGCCGACCUGAGAGGGUAAUCGGCCACAUUGGGACUGAGACACGGCCCAAACUCCUACGGGAGGCAGCAGUAGGGAAUCUUCCACAAUGGACGAAAGUCUGAUGGAGCAACGCCGCGUGAGUGAAGAAGGGUUUCGGCUCGUAAAACUCUGUUGUUAAAGAAGAACAUAUCUGAGAGUAACUGUUCAGGUAUUGACGGUAUUUAACCAGAAAGCCACGGCUAACUACGUGCCAGCAGCCGCGGUAAUACGUAGGUGGCAAGCGUUGUCCGGAUUUAUUGGGCGUAAAGCGAGCGCAGGCGGUUUUUUAAGUCUGAUGUGAAAGCCUUCGGCUCAACCGAAGAAGUGCAUCGGAAACUGGGAAACUUGAGUGCAGAAGAGGACAGUGGAACUCCAUGUGUAGCGGUGAAAUGCGUAGAUAUAUGGAAGAACACCAGUGGCGAAGGCGGCUGUCUGGUCUGUAACUGACGCUGAGGCUCGAAAGUAUGGGUAGCAAACAGGAUUAGAUACCCUGGUAGUCCAUACCGUAAACGAUGAAUGCUAAGUGUUGGAGGGUUUCCGCCCUUCAGUGCUGCAGCUAACGCAUUAAGCAUUCCGCCUGGGGAGUACGGCCGCAAGGCUGAAACUCAAAGGAAUUGACGGGGGCCCGCACAAGCGGUGGAGCAUGUGGUUUAAUUCGAAGCUACGCGAAGAACCUUACCAGGUCUUGACAUACUAUGCAAAUCUAAGAGAUUAGACGUUCCCUUCGGGGACAUGGAUACAGGUGGUGCAUGGUUGUCGUCAGCUCGUGUCGUGAGAUGUUGGGUUAAGUCCCGCAACGAGCGCAACCCUUAUUAUCAGUUGCCAGCAUUAAGUUGGGCACUCUGGUGAGACUGCCGGUGACAAACCGGAGGAAGGUGGGGAUGACGUCAAAUCAUCAUGCCCCUUAUGACCUGGGCUACACACGUGCUACAAUGGAUGGUACAACGAGUUGCGAACUCGCGAGAGUAAGCUAAUCUCUUAAAGCCAUUCUCAGUUCGGAUUGUAGGCUGCAACUCGCCUACAUGAAGUCGGAAUCGCUAGUAAUCGCGGAUCAGCAUGCCGCGGUGAAUACGUUCCCGGGCCUUGUACACACCGCCCGUCACACCAUGAGAGUUUGUAACACCCAAAGUCGGUGGGGUAACCUUUUAGGAACCAGCCGCCUAAG